UGGUCUUGAUCUCUUGACCUCGUGAUUCGCCCGUCUCAGCCUCCCAAAGUGCUGGCAUUACAGGUGUCAGCCACCGUGCCUGGCCCAACCGUUUUUUCCAUAGUCUGCUGUCUUAUUGUUACAGGAUCUCCAAGCUAAUAUCCCUUAUGCCUGCUGCCUAGGUUUCUCCAGUCUUCUGCCUGCUUUCUUUUGAGUGGACAGCCUUGUUUCUGUGAAGCUCACUGCCACACGGUCUCUUUCUAGUUCCAUGAUGGGCUCUCUGUGGCCAUGUGGUUGUUAAAUGCUCACAGCUACUGCCCUCCUGGCAGGACUAAGAACUUCUGGCCUCUCCACCAUCCAGAGCUAAUGUCUGGCCCAGCGCAGAGAACCCAAGACCUUGCCCAGCGCCAGGGUGGGUGUCCCUCUGACUGGCUGUUGAAUGUCACCUCUGUAUCCUCUCUGCUGUGCCAGAGUCCCAUGGCCACCCACAGGGCAGUAAAUUUGAAAGAGUGCUCCACGACUCGGCACACUGUGCUGUUUGCAGCUAUCAUUGACUACAGUGAGAGGAGGCAGGAGUGUUGGCGCAGGGAAGGGGGCCGGGGCAGAGUCCAGGGGGAACCAGUCCCAGCACCUUCACACGGGAGGCACUUGGCUGUCCUAGCAUUAUGUGACACAGGGUCUUUAGUGGGGCUGCCCCAUUGGCAGGUGCUGCUUGGUGCGGACCACGCUGUCAGACUCCUAGGAGGCAAGCAGGGGGUCAGCAUAAAGCACGUUUGUGCAAACAGUUCAGGUGCAGAGAGCCUUGUAUCACUCUAGGAGUGGUGGGAGCCCUCCCCAAAUCCAAGUUCCCAGACAAGCUAUGAGCAGGCCAUAGAGGUGGCUUGGUUCUGCUGUGACAACUCACCCGCAAUCUCCAGUGCCUGCUGCUCUAUUCCUUUUCCCCCACUCCCCCACCAACUUUACCCCAGGAAGAGGCCCUCUCUCCUUGAGGCCUGGGCUAAGCCUCUGACCUGCCCAGAGGCCUCAUGUUGGUUGUUGGCUGCCAGUUGCAGGGCCCCUGGCCACACUGAAGGACUCCUACCUGGAGGUGAUGCUGCAGCCCCUAAAGGAGAUAUGGGAGUGGGCAGAGGAGGCCAUGUGGUGGCUGCAGAUCUGGGUGCCCGGGAUGCCAGGCAACGGGGGUCCCAGGCCCAUCAGGAUGGCCCUGGGGUCCGGGAAAGCUGCCCUGGAGCUGGUGAGUGAGAACAAGAAUGGGGCGUGGCUGGCAGUUGAGGACAACUGAGACAGCUCUCACUAUCCCCUCCCUCUCCAAGUGGCCCACCAGAUGCUGUCCUGGGCUGAGGCCAUGUUCUCACGGGCACAGAAGAGGCUCUGCAAACCCCUGCUGGACCUGUAUGGCCUCACAGCCAGACCAUGCCCUGGUGCCCUGGGCCCAGCACGUGGUGACUUUUGACAGCCGGGUGUGAAACCUCAGCAUCCAGUGCAGCAGCAUCCUCCUGGCCCAAGACUUUGCUCACAACACAUUCUCCCUGAUGCUGAUUCGGACAGGCUUGGGGCUCAUGGCCCUGACCGUGGAGCUGAACCAUGUGACCCUCAUCUUCUACCCCAGCCUGCAGGCCUACAGGCUAUACAGCUCCUACCUGCUGGGGGAGAGCUGUCCAGACCUCCAGCUGCCACCUGCCCUGACAAGGAGGGAUGUCCCCAGGAUUGAGCUGGCCAGUGAGGACAAAGUCUGUCUCCUGUGAUGUGCCCACCAGCCCCUGCAGCCUGACUCUGGGCCUCUGGCACCACGGUGAGUCUGGGCCCCGGCAGGGUUGGCUCCACCAGCAAGAGCCUCUCUGGGAUGCACCAUUCUCAGCUUCCAGUGGGACAGGUCCCCGGGCUGUAGGCAGGGACUGUGGUUGAGAUGAUGGCACUGAGGCCCAGGGCUUUCUGCCCCCAUCCCUGGGAUAUGUGGCUCCCUGGGAUAAGGGUGAAAUGGGCCCUUCUCUGGUCCCUCUGCCAAGGAACAUAAAGGGUGGGCCUGGAUUCUGGCCACUCAAGCUGAGGCCGUGGGGAGGGGAUGGGAGGGACACAUGCUGUCCUCAGUCCCUGUGCUUUCUCUCCCUCCUUUGAUGAGGGUAUGGAGCCAGAGCCCUGGGCUCUGGGAGUCUGGGGUGGAGGUGGCAGGAUUCUACCUCUUCUCAGUGUGCCUAAGGCUUGUCUCUCAUACAGGUCCCCAGGGGGAGGAUCACGGGCUCUCAGGACCUCCUCAGCUUCCCUUCUUCCCACAGGUAUAUCUGCUGGCCUUCUGGGCACCAACAACAAAUAAGUCAGGCAAUGAGCUGAUGUUGUCAGAUGGCUCUGUGGCCCACAGCCUGGAGAAGCUCAUCCUGGCCUGGCAGGUGAGCAGGUGCACCUGCCCUUCCUCCCUCUGGCUGAGGCUCUUGAGGGCUGCUCACUGCAGAGUCCCAGGAUAGGCAGGUGGCCUGCUGGCUCUGCAGCGGUCUUUGCAGACCCAGGGUUGGGGGGAGUCUCCUGCUGAGGCUGAUGUAUGUGGGGGAGCCACAUGGUCCAACGGGAGGCCUGAGUCUUGCGUCUGUCCCACCAGGUGGAUGGUGACUGCAAGGCCACCGAGAAGACUCAGCUGACCUGCCCAGGACAGAGCCCUGCCUGCCAGGCCUUCUUCCAGGACCUCCAUUCCAGCUUGAGGAACUGCUUCCGGGUGGUGGACCCUGAACCAUUCCUCAGCCUGUGUGUGCAGGACCCCUGUGGCACCCAGGAACUCCAGCCUGCUUGCAAUCUGGCGGCCACCUACAUCCACCUGUGUGCCUGCAACUUCGGAUCCCUGGCCCAUCCUCCACAGUGUGUUUGAGAUUUCAUCUAAGCCAGCCCUAGGCUGCUAAAUACUUCAAACUCUUCACCUUCUACUCUAAUUCCAGCUCCUUAACAAGGGCAAGAUUCUGGCUGGGACAGAAUAACCAGCAUGGAAUGCUAAGAAACUCAGAACAGCAUGUGUUACAAAUGCAGGGAAGAAGAGCUAUUUGCCAUUGUGCUCAAAAUACUUCUGAGGACAUACAACUCUCCCACUGGUCUGGGUAAUUUCCCCGCUUCCUCCACAUCUCCACUGUAAACUGAGAGACAGCGCAGCCAGUGAGUCCCAGCCCUGCAGAAAGAGCUCUACCCAGCUCCUGUUCAAGCCCAAGGUAUUUAUUCACUUAUUCAACAGCCAUGUGGGAAGCCACUGAUUCAGAACGCUAACUGUGCAGAGGGGGACAGGAAGCCAGGUCCUCAGCUCCCUGGUCCUAGCUUUCCUUGCCUGAUCCAGGGAUCUCCUGAGGCAGGAAGUUCUUUGAGGGGAACUGAUAGCUCUUCAGAAGCCCAGGCAGAGAGCUGCUGUCUUUAGGGUAGACACACUGGGACUGAGUCCUUUGGAGGGCCUCUGUUUUGGUAGGUGCACCUGUGAACUCAGCCCCCAGGCUACAGCAUUCAAAGUGUUUUUUUUUUGUUUGUUUUUGUUUUUUGUUUUUUUGUUUGUUUGUUUUACUUUCUUUUGGAACAUAACCUUUUCCUUUGAGUUUUCAACUGAAAAAGCAGAAUCCAAGAAUGUGUCUCUGGAUUGCUGGGGCUGAUCAUCCACUCAAGGAGAUGGGGAGAUGUGGGCAGCUAUGGAAUCUUCUCACUGAUAGAGGGUGCCCUUGAGCAUUAUUUGGGCUGAGCCUUUGGUAGGCGAUUGUAGGAUCCAGAUUCCAGAGCAAAGGGCCAGGUGUCAGCCACGGGGACUGAGGCAAGCUGAAGGCCAGACACCAGACUUGGCUGUCCCUGGCCUCCCCACCCAUGAAUCCCUGGUGCACAGCAGGUGCUAGAUGAAGCUUGGAAGAAAGAACUCCAGGAUAAAUGGAAACAAGAAGGUUGGUCCUCCACAUUCCCAAGCUGGAGGGAAGAGAAGGGAGGGUGGCUGGGAUCUGAGUGUUUGCUAUGGUUACAGCCCAAAGACCUAGAGCCCAGGCACUGCUCCUGGUGCCUUGAAAGAUGUUUGAUCUUAAGCCUUACAGUAGUCCAAUGAGGAAUAGAUGAUCUCCUUAAUAAGGGAAGAAGCAAAGGCUCAGAGAGUUGAGGGGAUUCCCCCAAGGUCAUAUAACCUACAAAUGGCCAGGACGGUGCUGAUGCGGGCCUGUCUGCCUCCCAAUGCUGCUGAAGCUCAAUCACCCCCCACCACUUCUGCUUUUGCAAUAAUAGCCUUAUGCCACAUAUUCUACCAGUUACUUUAUGAAAGAAAGUCAAGUAAACUUUGGCCAUUUCCCAAGCCAUAAUAGGUAGCUCCUGUUCAAAACACCCUGUAAAUCAGGUCAUGCAAGAUCAGAUAUGCACCUACAACUGUUACAGGUGCUGUGCUAGCCACUGUUUUGGGGAACUCGGCCUAGGAAUAUGAGUGAAGAGACAACUCACAAAGAAAAGCAAAUCACUGGCAUGCAGGGGGCCCUGAGAAAUUCAGAGUCAGAUGCAACCAGAGUGAGCAGCCACCUGAACCUGCUGGUUUCCCAAUAUGCUUAAUGGAUCCAUGAUGUGGGGUCCACAAAGGAAAUGCGGAAGUCUUCCCUUCCUGCCUCCCACACUCUGUGGGUCAAGUAUUUCCCAAAAACACAGCAGUGGACUGGACACCAGCAGAGAUACAAAGAGGGAAAAACAGUUCUCCCUUCUCAAGGCAGGUUGGACAACAUCAAUAUUUUGCAGUUAGGAGGUGCAGGUGGAGUCUG
Cebus imitator (Panamanian white-faced capuchin) is the source of this 4715-nucleotide long non-coding RNA. RefSeq lists it as uncharacterized. The transcript has 5 exons. The record is from RefSeq and is a predicted model, not a curated record. NCBI's taxonomy places the organism in Eukaryota, Metazoa, Chordata, Mammalia, Primates, Cebidae.